Long non-coding RNA from Sander lucioperca (pikeperch), 3409 nucleotides. The record is from Ensembl. Lineage: Eukaryota; Metazoa; Chordata; Actinopteri; Perciformes; Percidae.
CUGUGUGUUUUCCGUAUUUGUUUUCACUCUUCCUCCUCCUCCUUCUUUUCAUUCUUUUUCAUGUCCUCUUUUAUUUUCUGUCCUGUCUCUCUUUUGUUUAACCAUCCCUCCCUUUCUUACCUUUGUCAUUUCUUCCGUCUGUGUUUUCCCUCCUCCUCCUCCUCCUCUUCUUCCUCCAUCAUCUUUUCUUUCUCCUCCCUCCAUCCUCUCCCCCUGAAGGAGCCCUCUGUGUCCCUCAGACACUCCUCCUCUUCCUCCUCCCUCCUCCGUCGCCCCAGCAACCCCUCCUCCCCCUCCUCCACUACAGAUCCCUCCCUCCAUCACCUCCUCCGUCACCUCCCCCCCUCGCAGACACCCCGGCCCCCGACGGAGGGCCUCUCCUCCUGGGGACACUCAGGAUCUGGCUCCGCCCCCCAGCAGCCCUUCAUGGUUGUAUCUGACCGGCGUCCGUCUCUCUCGGGUCAAAGCCUCCACAGCGUCCCGCUGAGUUACGCCACUCUGCCUCGAGGUCCUCGCCGAGCUCAGCCUCCCCCCUCUGCCCCCCCCUCCUCCUCCUCCCUCCCCCGUGGCGUCUCCGGCCCCGCCCCCCCUCCUCCACACAGUCUCUACGCCACGCUGUCUCACCCUCGACGCACUGCCGCAUCCAACGCUCACCGCCGGCAGCCAUCUCUGCCCGGUACACUCGACGGCUCCGCCCCCGCCCAGCCGCUGCGCCUAGAUGUUCCCCCGGAGACCGACUGGCGCCGAGACACCAACUACAGGACCGUGUCUUCCUCCUCCUGGGACCCCCGCGCCGCACGCGGCCACCAGUCGCUCCAGCGGACGGCCGCCCGCCAGACGCCACUGCCGCGGCUCUGCUUGCUCUGCCAGCAGCUUCCUGCCGAGCCAACGCGGCCCUACUGCCCGUCCUGCAGCGCCUACGUGGCUCGCAUCGCGGACGCCACUCUUAGGAGCGUGCAUCGCCGAUGAUGACGCACAUCGAUUUAGAUUCACAACUUCCCGAUUUGAUUACACUUGUGAUUCGGCUCCAUGUCAGUAAUGUCAGGGAACAUUUUAGUUACAAAAGACCCAGUUUUGACCCUUUCUCCCUAAAAUAUUCAAACUUUUUCUCCAAAAUGUUUUUGCCUGGAUAUAAACUAAUACUUGUGUAUGUCUGAGGCCCCCAAAAGGACUUUUUACUUCUAUAUCUGUGGUGAAAUGGCAGAUAUAGAAAUAUUCUUUUAUGGAUCAGAUCACUCAAACAAAGAUCCAUUUUAAACUGUUUGAACCCAGAACAAGACACACACACACACACACACACACACACACACACACACACACACACACACACACACAGAGAUACACACACACACACACACACACACAGAGAUACACACACACACGCGCACACGCGCACACACACAGAGAUACACACACACACACACACACACACAGACACACACACACAGACACACACACACACACACACACACACACACACAGAGACACACACACACACACACACACACAUACACAGACACACAUGCACGCGCACGCACACACACACAGACAGAGACACACACACACACACACACACAUACAAUCUCACACACACACACACACACAGAUACACGCACACACACACACACACACACACACACACACACACAAUCACACACACACACACACACAGAGAUACACGCACGCACAUACACAGACACACAUGCACAGACACACACAGACACACAUGCACACGCACACAGACAGACACACACACACAGACACACACACACGCACACACACACACAAACACACACACACACACACACACGCACACACACACACAAACACACACACACACAGAGACACACACACACACACGCAGAGAAACACACAAACGCAUACACACACACACACACACACACUCUACUUAUUAAACUGUAUUUAUUUUUGUAGGCUUGUGAGACUGAGUUGUGCGUAGAUGAAACUACUCUACCCGAGUAUAUAUAUAUUCUAGUAUAUGUAUACUCCUAUAGUCUACUUUUCUAAAAGCUAGUUUAGUCGCCUUGUUUUCGGGAUUCUUCCAGCGAGGCUGUUAGAGAUUAAAGCUUUUAUUUUGACAGCUAAUAUUUAGCAUGAUAUUUAAUAAUAUAGCCUUGAGAGACUUUGGUGUACAUUUAUUAUAACGAUGAUACUUUUUUAGUGCACUUCAGAAGUGUCGAUAGAUUUAUUUCACGUUCGCUCGUUGCUCCUCGUUUCCUCCGUGGGCUUGUGUGUUUUUUGUACUCUGACGACUUUUAAACCGGUUUCAUAGAUUAAAGGGUAACUACGGGCAACCUGGACACUCUGCCCUCAUGUUUCUGUGUCUAAGUAACUGAUGGAAACAACAGUCUUUGACAUCGGUCCAGAUUUAAGAAAGAACCAAGCUGCAAUGUAACGUAAAACCGUCAGUUAGCAUCCACUAAAAGUUCUGUUGUUGCCGCUGACAGACUCAGAUUAUUAUUCUAAGUGUGACAACAUUAUGAAAGGAUCCCUACAGAGAUAGACCUUUUAGUUAAAGAGUAAGAUCCUUUUUUUAAACAUAAAAACAUCCGCGAAAUUGCUCUCUCUAAACCCACCAGACUCCAUGUAAAUAAUCACUACUUUUAUCAUCGUAAAACACACUUCAUUCAAAGUGGACAGAAACUAAAUAAAACUAUCAAAAGUCGUCACAUGUGGAGAUAUGCUGGCUCUAUACACGCUAAAAGUACUGAUUAUUUACAUGGAGUCUGGUGGAAAUAUGCUGGCUCUAUACACGCUAAAAGUACUGAUUAUUUACAUGGAGUCUGGUGGAAAUAUGCUGGCUCUAUACACGCUAAAAGUCCUGAUUAUUUACAUGGAGUCUGGUGGGUUCGGUGAUGGUGAUUUAAUACUGGACCAAUGUCAAAGCUUGUUGUUUCCAUCAGUCACUUAGACACAAAAACAUGAUGAAAUAGGGUCCAGGUUGAAAAAUCCAGAAGUUCCCUUUUAAUGAAUGAACACAUGAAUGCUGUGAAUGAAUAACCGCUCGUGUGGUGGAUAAAACAAACGUACCCAAGUCUGGUCUGAAGCCAAAACAUUCACAGCUGCGAUUAUUCUGCAUAUUACUCAAGAUAUUUACAAUUAUAAUCAAACAAAAUCACUUAAAGAGGGAAAUAUAUAUUGAUUACUUCCUCCUGAUUUGAUUCUCAGAUGCUGCAGCCAAACACAGGAAGUGUUCCUUUCAGAAUAAAAGACUUCAGAGCAGAGCUGAGUUCAACAUAAUUAAUAGUUAUAAAGUUAAAGUUCAUGGUUUUUUUGUUUUGUGUUUUUUUGCUUCGCCAGAUUUGAUUUUGGUAUAUUUUUGAUGCUUAUUUUUCUACACUGUAGACUUAUAACAGAGAUGAUACGAUGAUUAAAAUGUUUAAAGGAA